This 676-nucleotide ribosomal RNA is filed under the name uncultured bacterium. RNAcentral's name for it is "bacterial SSU rRNA". It matches the Rfam family "Bacterial small subunit ribosomal RNA", at positions 8 to 694 of the family's 1533-position model. The record is from RNAcentral.
AGAGUUUGAUCCUGGCUCAGGACGAACGCUGGCGGUGUGCUUCACACAUGCAAGUCGAGCGAAUGAAGAAGGUAGCUUGCUACUUUUGGAUUUAGCGGCGGACGGGUGGGUAAUAUAUAGGAAUCUGCCCUAGAGCGGGGAACAACAGACCGAAAGGUUUGCUAAUGCCCCAUAGGUACGCAGUCUUCGGAUUGUUUAUUAAAGGAGUAAUCCACUCUAGGAUGAGCCUGUAUCCGAUUAGCUAGUUGGCGGGGUAAAGGCCCACCAAGGCUACGAUCGGUAGUUGGUCUGAGAGGAUGAUCAGCCACAAUGGGACUGAGACACGGCCCAUACUCCUACGGGAGGCAGCAGUGGGGAAUUUUACACAAUGGGGGAAACCCUGAUGUAGCGACACCGCGUGAACGAAGAAGCCUUUUGGGGUGUAAAGUUCUGUCGGCUGGAACGAAAAAAAUGACGGUACCAGCAAAGGAAGCAUCGGCUAACUACGUGCCAGCAGCCGCGGUAAGACGUAGGAUGCAAGCGUUGUCCGGAUUUAUUGGGCGUAAAGAGUUCGUAGGCGGUUAUUUAAGUCUGGUGUUAAAUACUGUGGCCCAACCACAGAACUGCAUUGGAUACUGGAUGACUUGAGUGCGGUAGAGGCGAGUGGAAUUCCCAGUGUAGCGGUGAAAUGCGUAGA